Aphis gossypii (cotton aphid) is the source of this 899-nucleotide long non-coding RNA. RefSeq lists it as uncharacterized. NCBI's taxonomy places the organism in Eukaryota, Metazoa, Arthropoda, Insecta, Hemiptera, Aphididae. The record is from RefSeq and is a predicted model, not a curated record. The transcript has 4 exons.
UAUAUUUUAUACAUUUCAGUUGAAGCAUACUGAAACGGAAAGGGUAAAAUUAUAUUGUUUGAUAGAGAUGGUAAAUUAUGUGCGACUAUAUUUUUUAUUAUUUGACACCGAAUAUAAUGUUUUUAUAAAUAUGCUAAUUAUUAUAAUGAGAUCACACCGUUCUAAAUCAAAUCAAAAUUAUGAUUAUUAUUUCAUAAGACGGAAAUAAUAUGUAGAUUAUUAUAAUGAGAUCACACCACUCUAAAUCAAACCUAAAUUAUAAUAAUUAUUAUUUCGAAAAGUACCGAGAGUAAAUGUGUCGUAUCAUAUCAUUCACCUCACACUGCUCAGCACAUAGACGACACACGGAAAUUUUUUAAUAUUUCAACUUUUCAAAGAACAUUUUUUAUCGUAAACAUUGAACAACGGUCUCACAAACUUAUAAUAUAUCAUACCACAUCACGACGCUCAACACAAACACACACGGAAAAAGUUCAUUUUUUUUUUCAAAUAUUUCAACUUCACAAAAUAUCAAUUAUGUCUUCAAUCGUUUCAAACAAUACACGGGAUAGAAAAUCAACAAUAUUCUAGAAUCUUUAGAAUAUUAUCGUACUGACCCAGAAAUCACCUUUAGAUAUGUAGGAGAUUAUUACCCAUUUAUGGAACCCAAAAGUGGUGUAGCAGUGCAUGUUAUCAUGAUGAAAGAUCUGGCGGUUUUCAAACUUAUUACAAUUCUAUAUACCAGUUUGUUCGAUUUAAAGAUAUAGAAGCGUUUAAAGAUUAUUGUUAUUAUACAAAAUGUAUAUUAUGUGGUCGGUUUUUAACAAAAGGAGUUUGUUUAGAAAGUAACCCAUUCCCUGCUAGUAUUGACGUCGUACCUGUACCCGUAACAUAUUCAAGUUUUUUUGUUUUAGAUAUGA